GGCACAGGGACUGUUUUGGGGUGUCAUUGAAGGUAACGGGCUCAAGAGUGGCCUGUCCAGAUAUUUUGUUUUUUAUUUAUUGAUGAUCCACGAGACAUCCUAGAGUUAAAUCAAAGUAUGUGGUUAUCUUUGUAUUCAUUCCUACACACUCUGGUAAUAUCUCUGUGGGGUCUGAUUCACUUAUUAGAGUGAAAUUCUAUUGUGAAAAACAGCCACAAAUUCGUGUCACUGGUGAAAAUGAAACUGAUAAUUUAAAUUUUGCCACCAUGAAAUAUAUACAAAUAGAUAAAUUUGAGUGACUUCACCUGCUUUGCACAGUAAAAAUAUGCUAUUUCAGGCAUCUGACACCCUCAAAAAGGCGUGCGCACUCCUCUGGCCUAGGAGCUUCAGCCUGGACAUUGUGGUUAGGUCAUUACAUACUCAAAUCAGGACUAGGUUUUGGGAGACAGGUCAGGUCAUUUUGUAGACUUGUGAUACUGGGCUAGACUGCACUGGGUACACCACACGCUGGAGUUGCACCCAGUUUAUAAUGAUAUCAUUUUGGAGCAGUGAGUGAUGGGCUUUUUUUUUACUGUAAAAAUAAAAAGUAUGUUGAUGUUUACACAGUUAAUUGACACCAAACUUGAUUUGCAGACACUACCAAACGAAGAAGAGGAGGAGGAGGAGGAAGAAGAAGACGAGGAACACAGGAGGAACCCAUUGAGAGAACAAGAAGAAGAAGAAGAAGAAGAAGAGGAGGACACAGGAAUUCCUUGAAUUGAAUGGCUGGCGUCUCGGUCUGCCUGCCUGUGGGACACCGCACACUCUGGAACAAGAAAGAACACCAAGAUGUCAAGUUCCUGCAGAAUCAGCCUCUUAGUGAAGGAAAUGUGCUCUAUUUAUUUAAUAAAUAAUUGACAAAAAAAUAA
This is a long non-coding RNA of Eriocheir sinensis (Chinese mitten crab), 908 nucleotides long. RefSeq lists it as uncharacterized. NCBI's taxonomy places the organism in Eukaryota, Metazoa, Arthropoda, Malacostraca, Decapoda, Varunidae. The record is from RefSeq and is a predicted model, not a curated record. The transcript is spliced from 3 exons.